RNAcentral lists this ribosomal RNA (519 nucleotides) under uncultured bacterium. RNAcentral's name for it is "bacterial SSU rRNA". It matches the Rfam family "Bacterial small subunit ribosomal RNA", at positions 26 to 518 of the family's 1533-position model. The record is from RNAcentral.
AGGACGAACGCUGGCGGCGUGCCUAAUACAUGCAAGUCGAACGGUCUUUCUAUGGAAGCUUGCUCCACUGAGAAGAUAGUGGCGAACGGGUGAGUAACACGUGGGUAACCUGCCCAUAAGAGGGGGGAUAACAUCCGGAAACGGGUGCUAAUACCGCAUAGUUUUCUUGAUCCCAUGAUUGAGAAAGGAAAGACGGCCUUUGUGCUGUCGCUUAUGGAUGGACCCGCGGCGUAUUAGUUAGUUGGUGAGGUAACGGCUCACCAAGACGAUGAUACGUAGCCGACCUGAGAGGGUGAUCGGCCACAUUGGGACUGAGACACGGCCCAAACUCCUACGGGAGGCAGCAGUAGGGAAUCUUCCGCAAUGGACGAAAGUCUGACGGAGCAACGCCGCGUGAGUGAAGAAAGGUUUUCGGAUCGUAAAACUCUGUUGUCAGAGAAGAACAAGUUGGAGAGUAACUGCUCCAGCCUUGACGGUAUCUGACCAGAAAGCCACGGCUAACUACGUGCCAGCCGCCGC